RNAcentral lists this long non-coding RNA (1853 nucleotides) under Priapulus caudatus. RNAcentral describes it as "uncharacterized LOC106816242". Lineage: Eukaryota; Metazoa; Priapulida; Priapulimorpha; Priapulimorphida; Priapulidae. The record is from RNAcentral.
CGCUACAAACGAUGGCCUACAAACAGGUACUAUCAUCGCCAUCGUCGUCAUGUCUAUCGCUGUUCUCCUGGGUGCCAUCAGUGUGUACGUGUGCUGCUGCUGCCGCCGCCCGGUGACGGGAGUCCCGGCUGUCCGAUCCUCAGCCAACCAGUCACGUCCGGCCGGAAACACUAGCGGAAAUAGCCGACCAAAUAACUACAAACACGUAAAAAACAAUUUGGGGGAGCAGAACGUCAACGCGACCUCUAAGUCGCCUAGUAGCAACAAAAAACAAUCCACUGGAAAGCAGCCGAAACUGGCAACCACAAUAGACUCGCCUUCUGGUAGCGUUAAGGUCAUCAUUGAUCAAGGUCAAGUGUACUACCCGCCCGAGUCUUGAUAGAAUGACGAUGGGCCACGGCAUCAGAUUGUACAAUGCUAGAGUUGGCAGGCGAGCGGCGAUGUCCUCACUAAUCGUCGUCAUGUCUUCCUAUCUGCGACAAGUCGUUAGCAGCUGCUGACGUGUUCAGUCUAUGGUUUGCUGUUCUAGCCUGACAGCGCCAUCUGUUGUUAAAGAACAAUUAAAGGGCGAAACUUGAGCGCGGAUAUUCGUAUUACUCUAAACGUGUUACGUUUACUACCAUAAUGUGUAAUUACAUUAAGAUAUAUAAUUAUAUGUAUUUUAAUUAAAUAUAUUAAUUAUAUUAGAUUAGAAAUAUCUAAUUUAAUAUAAUUAAGUAUAUUUGAUACUGCUAUUGUGCUCAUGAGGUUGCGAUUUGAUAAUUGAAUGCACGUUUUGCCCAAUGAACUCGCGAAAUAUUUGAGUGCAGCAAAAAACAUUUUCUAAGUGAUUGUAGCGGUCGUGAAGUGUGCGCGAAGCCUGAGAGAACGCUGUGCCUCUUAAGUUAUUUUAGCUUCAUCAUCUAAUGGUAAUUUAGAGUUCAUAUUGCAAUUUUCUGAUACCCCGAUGGUGAAAUGGGGAGCCCCCUCCACACUGAGCUACGAACAUUCGACAUAUGAAUAUAGGGACUGACGAACGAUGCUCCGUUCUUUUUUGCGGACACGGCAUAUCGGAUGCACGAACCAAACCCACGCUUCUCAAACCAAGUGAGUUUGCAAUUUAGAAUAUGUGACGCAUUGGACGCACAUACUUAGGGUCAUGUUGGGGACUCGUAGACCUCCUGCGACUAAUGACGCCCCCACAAAAAAUUUUACCGGUUAGAGGGCGCGCAUGAAUGUUGGAAAUCUAAUUCUAAUAACAAUAAAAAAUGGUAAAACUACAUUUUUUGAGCACGUUGUGUAUGAAAUAAUAGUAUUGCGCGUAUCGUACGCGAAAAAAUAUUUACGGGGGUAUAAAUCGGUGAACUGAGCGUGUUUUACUUUUAACGAUUUUAUCAUUCAUCGCUUAUAACUGUAUAUAUAUAACUAUUUAUUUAUAGAUAUAUAUUGUCUGUGCAUGCAUGUGUGCGUGUUUAUAAUAAUAUAUUUAUCAUAAUCUAUUAUUAUGGAAACUGAUCAAAGGGCAUGAAAUGAUGUGACGUGUUGCAAGGCGAAACUUACGUGUAGUCUUGACAACGCGUGCAGCGUAUCCAACGUAUUAAAAUCACCCAUAUACUAGCAGAUCAGUUAUGUAAACACCCAAUGUUUGUUUUGUCCUUAACGCGACGCAACUUAUUCAAUUUUAAGGCGCUCGUGGUGGUAUCGUUAUGGUAGCAUCUGUGGAGGUUUAGAACAUUAGAAGCAUAUUGAAAUUAACCAGGUGUGAGGUUCAAAACCAAACAUUCCAAAUUUGAGUGACCAACUAUAGAUCGCUACGUUGUGAUUGUAUAAAACUAUAGUUUCUAUAAUUAUUUGCUAUAAAUAUUAAGUGUGUU